Molecule: long non-coding RNA, 4375 nt
Organism: Syngnathoides biaculeatus (alligator pipefish)
Lineage: Eukaryota; Metazoa; Chordata; Actinopteri; Syngnathiformes; Syngnathidae
Exons: 7
Source: RefSeq, a predicted model, not a curated record
GACUGCCUAUACCAUUGAUCGGCCCUAACUACAGCGAAAAUCAGAGUCGCUAGAGAUGAUGUUCUUCUCUUCGGAUAUGAAGAAGACGAUGUCUCAACCGUUGUUUAUGCAUCAAUGCGUGACAAAUCGGACAAAGUAAAGAUAAGGUGUUGUCCAUUUGCUAUUGAGACAAGGAUGUGUUGUGCAGCGCGGUGGAUGUCCUUGAUCUUUGUACGCAGAAAACCAGCUGAAAACCAUCCUCCUCGCCCAGGCAUUGCCGUGGAGAUGAACGACAACAGAUAAGGAGUGGAAAGUUACUAUCCCGGUCCAGGACCAGACUGGGUUGGGGGCAGCCACUUUUACCAUGGACCCAUACAUAUAAAAACCUUGUGUUACCGGGCAGGUUUUGUCUUCUUCUUUGGGCUAUCCGGCCAGAAGACAGACGUCUCGUGUGCGGCAGAUACCUAGAUAAGAUCCGGACGUCCUUAUUGCACAUUCCUUUGUAAUAAAUCCAUGUACUCGUGUAAUCAUUGGUCUUCCCCGAUCCGUGAACACGUGUAGGGCCCAAACUCGCAAAUACCUACAAUGUAUUGGUGACCUCGACUAUAAGUCCAGGGUGGCAGACGGCCGUUUGCUGUCGACAGAUGACAUUUUUUGGAGACAUAUGAGAAACACCCUGGACAGUCUGGGUCGGAGCAUGCUAUGUUCUCCCGAUCACUGGAUUAAAGAUUGUCCUACAGCUCCUUCACCUCAAGGUCCAAUGCAAGGGUGUGGUGGCUGGUCCAACAACCGAGGGGGCCAAGGCAGAGGCAGAAAUGACAGCUUUGGCGGCCCACCCUGGCAGCAGGAUGGACAGCAGCAGGUUAGACAGUAGCACUAGGAGCGCCCGAGAAGCCAGAGGUCUGGUGAUGCAGGUGGCAUGAUCACAUCUCUGUUGCGGGCCGAAAAGUGAACACUCACGUUGACACGGGCAACACACUCUUCACUCAACAUCUCGCUCUUGGACAUAAUAUUGUCACAACACACUGUCCAAUUGAUGGGCUUCUCAGAGACUCAACAGGCCCUGCAAUGGACUCAACCCCUACCGACAAUCUUGGCUGGACAGACCUUCCACGAUUUGUUUAUAAUGCCGACAGCUGACACCGUCUGCCACUCUGGACAAUGGCUUAUGACACUUGUGAGUGAACAAACUCCCAACUGUGGACAUUUAUUGGGCCCGACUUGAACCAGAAACACUGCUCAAACCUGGUCUCAUACAUCAAUUUCUGUUAUGGAAGCCCUAGUUACGCAUUCUGAGGGCAUAACCACAUCCACAUCAGUGCCAGUUGUUAGCACAACCCACCCGGAAAUAUUUAUCACACAGAAGAGUUGUAUUAUAAACAAAGGCCUAUCUGUUGAGUGGUUUUGGGUUUUGACAGGCAUUCGCGCAGUAAACAGUAAUUGGUUACUAAUGGCAGAACAAGUGGCUAAUAAAACCCUGAGUAACUGUGUUGUAUGUAUGGGACCUAGACCUUUGUUACGUGUUGUUUCCUCUUCUGUCAACUCCACCUGUGUUCUGGAUCUUGUGAAAAAUUAUGUGGCGACUAAAAAUUAAUGCAAAAUUUGGGAUACUGCCCACCCGGUAACAACAGUCCUCUGGAACAAACCUGUGUUUAAUCGUGCUGUGACGCGCCAAAACUUUGCCUGUAUUUUCCUUAAAGGUAAUUGUGCCGCAAUUGGAAAUAUUGCUGAUGAUCAGUGUGCAGAGACCCAGGAAGCACCUUUCUUUCAACCAGUCAGCCGUGCUGAUGUGUGGUGGUGGUGCGGAGGCGACUGUAUCUUCGACCGCCUCCCGCUCAACAGUCUGAGCAGAUGUGCAUUAGUACGUUGGGGUUUACCCCAGUGGAUGAGAGGGUAGCCUCCCUCCGCCUUCAGGUAGGGGAAUGACUGUUGUUCACAGCACUUCAGAGUACCCACCCUUUUCGGAGUCCUUGGAGGGAGUGCUGGAGAACGCCCACUCCGGGGACUUCAUCAUUCUGCUGUGGGACUUCAAUGCUCGUGUCGGGAAUGACAGUGAGACCUGGAAGGGCGUGAUUGGGAAGAACGCCCCCAAACCCCCCCGUCAGAACCCAAGUGGUGUUCUGUUACUGGACUGCUGUGCUUGUCACGAACACCAUGUUGAGGCAUAAAGGUGUCCACAUGUGUACCUGGCUCCAGGACACCCUGGUUGCAGUUCAAUGAUCAACUUUGUGGUCGUGUCAUCGGACUUGCGACCGCAUGUCUUGGACACUCUUUUUAGUCUGUAUUGAUACAUGUUAAUAUUUUGUGCACAUUUGCAUGUUACUAAAGUCCGUUUGUUUAUAUAAUUUAACAAUAUGAAUUAUGCACAGAGUACUGAGGUGACAAUUUGACAGACCGUGCCUUUCUGCAUCAAGAACUAUCCAAGUCGUGCAUAUUUAUUGGUCUGAAUUGGAUACUUGAUACAGAACCAACGGAUGUUUAAACUCCUGUUGUCGUAGUUGAGGAUCAACUGGUCAGUCUACACUAAGCAGAUAAUUGCUCUGAUUGUGUCACUUAAAGUCAUACAACAGACUGCAGAAGCUACUUCUGGAUAGAGGACAAAUCCCAUGUGGUCAGUGAUAAGAAGGCUCCGUUACCGCAGCUUCCAAUGUUGGCGAAGUACUAAGCACAAAGAAGGCGGUUGUCUGUGUCAUAUAAGGAGAAACGAAUGUCACAGUACAAUUUGGAAGCAGUCAGUGGCAUGGAGGAUCACCCAUGAAGCUGAUGCACUGCGACUCCACCAGGAUCAACUGGGUGGAGCUGUAUGUGAAACUGGUAUCUGGCUUCACGAGUUGGGGUACUUGGCGUGUCUCCAGAUGGCAUUGUCCUCUGCCCCCCAUCAAGAGGAAAGAUAUUCUGGCAACCAGAGACCCAGGACCUGGUGCUUCAAUUUAUCGAGGGCAAAUGUCCAUAUUCAGAGGCACAGAUGAAAAUAAUAAGUACAAAAUGAGAACUUCAUCCUCAAGAAAAGUGAUGCAUACUAUCAUCAAAUACAGGGUCAGAUGUACCUAACAGGAAUAAGAUACUGUGACCUUGUGGUAUGGAACACCGGAAGACUUUGCCAUCAUCAAGAUACCCGGAGAUAGAUCUUGGGUCCCAAACCUGGUUUGCAUCAGUUCAUCUUGGCUCGGAGAAGAGAAGCUGGUGGCUGUUCUGGACAUUGACAAAUGGCUAUUGCUUUGCUUAGGUGAGUUUUAAAUUGCACUUAAGGAUUUUUGCGCCAAAUUGCAUUGACUGACAUUAUUUUUCCUGAAAUGUUCCGCACACCAUGUGAUGAUAUCCUUUAUAUAUUGAUUUUUGAUGCAGUGGCGCCUGAGGGGUUCGAAUGUCAAGGGUUUUCAUUGUCGGUUUUCAGUCUUGCCACUUACAUGGAGUGAUUUCUCCAUAUUCCCUGAACCGUUUGAUAUUAUGAACCGUAGCUGAUUCUUCUUUUUUUUUCCUUUCGGCUUGUCCCAUUAGGGGUCGCCACAGCGUGUCAUCUUUUGCCAUCUUAGCCUAUCUCUUGCAUCUUCCUCUCUAACCCCAACUGCCCUCAUGUCUUCCCUCACCACAUCCAUAAACCUUCUCUUUGGUCUUCCUCUCGCCCUUUUGCCUGGCAGCUCCAUCCUCAGCACCCUACCACCAUUACACUCACUCUCUCGCUUCUGAACAUGUCCAAACCAUCGAAGUCUGCUCUCUCGAACCUUGUCAGCAAAACAUCCAACUUUGGCUGUCCCUCUAAUGAGCUCAUUUCUAAUCCUAUCCAACCUGGUCACUCCGAGCGAGAACCUCAACAUCUUCAUUUCUGUCACCUCCAGUUCUGCUUCCUGUUGUUUCUUCAGUGCCACCGUCUCUAAUCCGUACAUCAUGGCCGGCCUCACCCAUUUCUUCACUUCCUUACCACACUCACCAUUGCUCUGGAUUGUUGAGCCUAAAUAUUUGAAGUCGUCCACCCUCGCUAUCUCUUCUCCCUGUAGCCUCACUCUUCCCCCUCCACUUUUCUCAUUCACGCACAUAUAUUCUGUUUUACUUCGGCUAAUCUUCAUUCCUCUCCUUUCCAGUGCAUGUCUCCAUCUUUCUAAUUGUUCCUCUGCAUGCUCCCUGCUUUCUCUGCAAAACACAUUAUCAUCUGUGAACAUUAUGGUCCAAGGGGAUUCCAGUCUAACCUCAUCUGUCAGACUAUCCAUUACCACUGCAAACAGGAAGGGGGUCAGAGCUGAUCCCUGAUGUAGUCCCACCUCCACCUUAAAUUCCUCUGUCACACCUAAGGCGCACCUCACCAUUGUUCUGCUGCCAUCACACAUGUCCUGUACUAUUUUAACAUACUUCUCUGCCACACCAGACUUACGCAUGCAGUACCACAGUUCCUCUCUUGGUA